Molecule: long non-coding RNA, 694 nt
Organism: Alosa alosa (allis shad)
Lineage: Eukaryota; Metazoa; Chordata; Actinopteri; Clupeiformes; Clupeidae
Exons: 3
Source: RefSeq, a predicted model, not a curated record
GAUCCGCCAUUAGUUUGCUGGUUUAACAAGCACAGACACCGAGCACAAUGGCUACAAGGAAGAGCAAGUCACACAUGAAGUGUUGUGUUGUUAGCUGCACAGAACAACACAAAUCCUUGCACUUUCUCCCAGCCUAAGAGAACAGAAGAACCGAGUGGCUCCAUUUCAUUUUCGAUGGCCAUGUUCCAGCAACAGUCAGCAAAAAUCUUGUGUGUGCGAACCACUUCAAGACAGAUUGCUUUGAAAACCUAGGACAGUACACUGAGGGAUUAGCCAUCAAACUUCGUUUGACAGAGGGAUCUGUACCUACUGUCCGUGGCAAGUCACAAGAUAAGAGACAUACUCUACCUGCUCUGCAUUACAAUGUGGAUGCUGCAUGAGACCAGGCCACCUUAUCCUCUGGGGACCCUCUCUACAGGAUGCAUUUCCCAAAGUACAGGAAGGGAGAGUGCAGGGUGAAACCCAUCAAAACCGAGACAACAUUCCGGUAUGUGGAAGACUUGAUGGGCUUCAUCAUGGGCGAGGUCUUUGGACCAAGAAGCAUACAGGGAGGAACUCCUGAAAAUAAACAUUUCUCCGGACCUGUCCUCAGAGUUUGAGCACCCAGAGAAGGAGGAGGUGAUCGCCAACUAUGUGUCUCACUUCAAUCCAGGGGAGGCAGUUUGAAGCCCACAUAUUGUCCUUGGCUGUCAGG